RNAcentral lists this ribosomal RNA (1413 nucleotides) under Campylobacter coli. RNAcentral describes it as "bacterial SSU rRNA". It matches the Rfam family "Bacterial small subunit ribosomal RNA". Lineage: Bacteria; Pseudomonadati; Campylobacterota; Epsilonproteobacteria; Campylobacterales; Campylobacteraceae. The record is from RNAcentral.
CUUCUAGCUUGCUAGAAGUGGAUUAGUGGCGCACGGGUGAGUAAGGUAUAGUUAAUCUGCCCUACACAAGAGGACAACAGUUGGAAACGACUGCUAAUACUCUAUAUUCCUGCUUAACACAAGUUGAGUAGGGAAAGUUUUUCGGUGUAGGAUGAGACUAUAUAGUAUCAGCUAGUUGGUAAGGUAAUGGCUUACCAAGGCUAUGACGCUUAACUGGUCUGAGAGGAUGAUCAGUCACACUGGAACUGAGACACGGUCCAGACUCCUACGGGAGGCAGCAGUAGGGAAUAUUGCGCAAUGGGGGAAACCCUGACGCAGCAACGCCGCGUGGAGGAUGACACUUUUCGGAGCGUAAACUCCUUUUCUUAGGGAAGAAUUCUGACGGUACCUAAGGAAUAAGCACCGGCUAACUCCGUGCCAGCAGCCGCGGUAAUACGGAGGGUGCAAGCGUUACUCGGAAUCACUGGGCGUAAAGGGCGCGUAGGCGGAUUAUCAAGUCUCUUGUGAAAUCUAAUGGCUUAACCAUUAAACUGCUUGGGAAACUGAUAGUCUGGAGUGAGGGAGAGGCAGAUGGAAUUGGUGGUGUAGGGGUAAAAUCCGUAGAUAUCACCAAGAAUACCCAUUGCGAAGGCGAUCUGCUGGAACUCAACUGACGCUAAGGCGCGAAAGCGUGGGGAGCAAACAGGAUUAGAUACCCUGGUAGUCCACGCCCUAAACGAUGUACACUAGUUGUUGGGGUGCUAGUCAUCUCAGUAAUGCAGCUAACGCAUUAAGUGUACCGCCUGGGGAGUACGGUCGCAAGAUUAAAACUCAAAGGAAUAGACGGGGACCCGCACAAGCGGUGGAGCAUGUGGUUUAAUUCGAAGAUACGCGAAGAACCUUACCUGGGCUUGAUAUCCUAAGAACCUCUUAGAGAUAAGAGGGUGCUAGCUUGCUAGAACUUAGAGACAGGUGCUGCACGGCUGUCGUCAGCUCGUGUCGUGAGAUGUUGGGUUAAGUCCCGCAACGAGCGCAACCCACGUAUUUAGUUGCUAACGGUUCGGCCGAGCACUCUAAAUAGACUGCCUUCGUAAGGAGGAGGAAGGUGUGGACGACGUCAAGUCAUCAUGGCCCUUAUGCCCAGGGCGACACACGUGCUACAAUGGCAUAUACAAUGAGACGCAAUACCGCGAGGUGGAGCAAAUCUAUAAAAUAUGUCCCAGUUCGGAUUGUUCUCUGCAACUCGAGAGCAUGAAGCCGGAAUCGCUAGUAAUCGUAGAUCAGCCAUGCUACGGUGAAUACGUUCCCGGGUCUUGUACUCACCGCCCGUCACACCAUGGGAGUUGAUUUCACUCGAAGCCGGAAUACUAAACUAGUUACCGUCCACAGUGGAAUCAGCGACUGGGGUGAAGUCGUAACAAGGUAACCGUAGGA